GAGAAAAAACAAAUGUGCUGAAAGAUGCACAAUACUCAAUCUUCCAGCCUAGGAUGAUGUCAUUAUGUACAUUAACAAUAAUUUGGGACAAAUAUAAUGUGAUUUUAUGGAAAACUAUGUGAGUGGAGUGGCAGGAUUUUGAACAGUGUCCUGAGUCGCCGCGGGCAGUCUUUAACUUUAACUUAAUGUUAUUAAACUGAAUGUACAAAGCAAACCGUUAGCUGAAAAAAUAAAUAAAUAAAUCCCUUUAAGGCAGGGGUGUAAAACUCAAUUCCUGGAGGCCCGGAUCCCUGCAGAGUUUUGUUCCAAACCUGCUCCAACACACAUUCAUGUAGUUUUAAAAUAAACCUGAAAUACUUGAUCAGGUGUGUUUAAUUAGGGUUGAAUCUAAACUCUGCAGGGCUCCGGCCCUCCAGGAAUUGUGCUUGACAUGCCUGCUUUAAGGCAAGUCACUCAGCGGACAUAUUUGAAAGGCCUCUCGGGCAUGCAAGGGCAGCUAAUAUCUCUUCAGAAUGGGAAACAUCAAAUUCUCCAACACUUACAAUUAAAAUUCCUAUUUGAAAUUUACGCCUGUUGUGAUUGAAAUGAAAUGAAAAGUGUUUAUUGCGACAUCAAAUUUUGAUCUGCUCAUGUUGUUUUUAUGAACGCAGUGGCCAAUCAGCAGCGUUCAGAUGAGUCCUCGCUGAAACGCCGGUGUUUUGUUCAGCGUGUGCGCUCGCUGACUUCUCUCAUUAUAAACAACAAUGUGCAGAUACACAUUCAAGUAAGAGUAUAAUGGGAUUCUUGUCUAAUUUGGUGGCAGUUCUAGAGUUUAUGUUUGAUGUUAGAUUGAUGUUUUGCUCUGAAGAAAGCAUGCUUAAGUUAACUGGCCCCUGCCAUGUUAUAAAUAAAUACAUCUAGGGCUAUUUAAUAAAGUGCCUCUGCUGUUUCUUUUAGAUUUAAGUUGUUAAAGCUCCACAUCUUCUUCAUGACAGGAACAAGAAAAGCUUCGAUGAUGCAGGUAAG
Long non-coding RNA from Cyprinus carpio carpio, 1005 nucleotides. The record is from Ensembl. NCBI's taxonomy places the organism in Eukaryota, Metazoa, Chordata, Actinopteri, Cypriniformes, Cyprinidae.